GUGGGGAAACGGCAUUAUGUGCUUGCACAUUCUGGACGUCGACCGGCGCACGGGUGAGUAUCGCGUAUCCAACCUGCCCCUUACUUGGGGAUACCCCGUUGAAAGACGGCCUAAUACCCGAUGUGUUUCAUUGACGGCAUCCGAUAUGAAACAAAGGUUUUUCCGGUAAGGGAUGGGGAUGCGUCUGAUUAGCUAGUUGGCGGGGCAACGGCCCACCAAGGCGACGAUCAGUAGGGGUUCUGAGAGGAAGGUCCCCCACAUUGGAACUGAGACACGGUCCAAACUCCUACGGGAGGCAGCAGUGAGGAAUAUUGGUCAAUGGACGCAAGUCUGAACCAGCCAAGUAGCGUGCAGGAUGACGGCCCUAUGGGUUGUGAACUGCUUUUGUAUGGGGAUAAAGUUAGGGACGUGUCCCUAUUUGCAGGUACCAUACGAAUAAGGACCGGCUAAUUCCGUGCCAGCAGCCGCGGUAAUACGGAAGGUCCAGGCGUUAUCCGGAUUUAUUGGGUUUAAAGGGAGCGUAGGCUGGAGAUUAAGUGUGUUGUGAAAUGUAGACGCUCAACGUCUGAAUUGCAGCGCAUACUGGUUUCCUUGAGUACGCACAACGUUGGCGGAAUUCGUCGUGUAGCGGUGAAAUGCUUAGAUAUGACGAAGAACUCCGAUUGCGAAGGCAGCUGACGGGAGCGCAACUGACGCUUAAGCUCGAAGGUGCGGGUAUCAAACAGGAUUAGAUACCCUGGUAGUCCGCACAGUAAACGAUGGAUGCCCGCUGUUGGUACCUGGUAUCAGCGGCUAAGCGAAA
Molecule: ribosomal RNA, 802 nt
Filed under: uncultured Bacteroidota bacterium
Lineage: Bacteria; Pseudomonadati; Bacteroidota
Description: bacterial SSU rRNA
Rfam family: Bacterial small subunit ribosomal RNA
Source: RNAcentral